AGCUUUGAAGGUGAUAUGGACAGUC
RNAcentral lists this non-coding RNA (25 nucleotides) under Rattus norvegicus (Norway rat). The record is from RNAcentral. Lineage: Eukaryota; Metazoa; Chordata; Mammalia; Rodentia; Muridae.